ACGUAGGGGGCAAGCGUUAUCCGGAUUUACUGGGUGUAAAGGGAGCGUAGACGGCACAGCAAGUCUGAAGUGAAAUCCCCGGGCUCAACCCGGGAACUGCUUUGGAAACUGUUGGGCUAGAGUGCUGGAGAGGCAAGCGGAAUUCCUAGUGUAGCGGUGAAAUGCGUAGAUAUUAGGAGGAACACCAGUGGCGAAGGCGGCUUGCUGGACAGUAACUGACGUUGAGGCUCGAAAGCGUGGGGAGCAAACAG
This 251-nucleotide ribosomal RNA is filed under the name uncultured bacterium. RNAcentral describes it as "partial 16S ribosomal RNA". It matches the Rfam family "Bacterial small subunit ribosomal RNA", at positions 525 to 775 of the family's 1533-position model. The record is from RNAcentral.